GAUGAACGCUGGCGGCGUGCCUAAUACAUGCAAGUCGAGCGGACGGACGAGGAGCUUGCUUCUCUGAUGUUAGCGGCGGACGGGUGAGUAACACGUGGAUAACCUACCUAUAAGACUGGGAUAACUUCGGGAAACCGUAGCUAAUACCGGAUAAUCUUUUGAACCGCAUGGUUCGAAAGUGAAAGACGGUCUUGCUGUCACUUAUCGAUGGAUCCGCGCUGCAUUAGCUAGUUGGUAAGGUAACGGCUUACCAAGGCAACGAUGCAUAGCCGAACUGAGGGGGUGAUAGGCCACACUGGAACGUAGACACGGUCCAGGCGCCUACGGGACGCAGCAGUAGGGAAUCUUCCGCAGUGGGCGAAAGCCUUGCGGAGCAGCGCCGCGUGAGUGAUGAAGGUCUUCGGAUCGUAAAACUCUGUUAUUAGGGAAGAACAGAUGUGUAAGUAACUGUGCACAUCUUGACGGUACCUAAUAAGAAAGCCACGGCUAACUACGUG
Molecule: ribosomal RNA, 497 nt
Filed under: uncultured bacterium
Lineage: Bacteria
Description: partial 16S ribosomal RNA
Rfam family: Bacterial small subunit ribosomal RNA
Source: RNAcentral